RNAcentral lists this small RNA (821 nucleotides) under Pan troglodytes (chimpanzee). Its description in RNAcentral is "sense overlapping". Lineage: Eukaryota; Metazoa; Chordata; Mammalia; Primates; Hominidae. The record is from RNAcentral.
GUGCUUCCAGCGGGUGGUGGGGGGCCUGGUGUGCUGGCAUCAAGUAAGCCGACUACCUCGGCAAAGGCUUAGGGACAAGAGACCAGCAGCCUGAACUGGCUGGGGCAUCCGGAAGGCUUAGAUCUUGUGGCCAAGAGUUCAGACCGUGGCGAAGUGGAGAGUGACAUGCAGUUGGAUGGCGGUGACUGCGUGGUCCUGCAACCCUGGUUCCAGUCUGGCAAGCAUUGUAGACCUGGCUGCUGAAGACUGACGGGGCCCAGGGUCCGCUGCCCCCACCGCCAUCACCACCUCGGAACCCAGGGUAACGCUGUCAGUCUUUGAUGAUGUCAGAAGUGGGAUCCAAAGUAGAGCUUAUAAUGACACCCAGGAGUGCUGAGUGACCAAGCAAGGUACCCACCAGGCCGAUUAUGUCCAUUGUUCUCUUGGAGCAGCUGGUCAUCAUGGUAAGUUCUCUCUCAGAUUCAGAAGCUCCGCAUAUUUGUGUUUUGAGCUCUCCAAGUUUAUAUGAGCCCAUUUCUAAUCCAAACUGCGUUUGGAAGUCAUGCCAAAAACUGAACUGGGUCCAGAAUCAAAUUAGAUCUGGUAAUUAAGUGGCUUGGAUCCAGUUAGAGGCCUCUUACAUCUGACUGGGUCAGAAGAAAACCAGUAGUAAAUGGCAAUAAUGCAAGGAUAAAAUUUGGCUUUCAUUCUUGAACAAGAUUUUCAUGUAAUAUUAAAGAAUAAUGAAUGAUUUUUGUUCAACUUUGAAUAAACUACAGGAAAAAAAAAGACAGAUACAACAAAAGAUUGUUUGGAAAGCUAAGUCUUCCCUCUAUUAAUGA